AACGCACCUUGCGCUCCUUGGUAUUCCGAGGAGCAUGCCUGUUCGAGUGUCAUGAAACUCUCAAACCGCAUCUUUAUUGAUGUCGGGCUUGGACUUGGACGUUGCUGGGCUGACGCUCGGCUCGUCUCAAAUGCAUUAGCUGACUCUCCCGACUUCAGUUUUCGGCGUGAUAAUCACAUCUACGUCGAUGCCGCGAGGCGCUGGACCGGGGAUCAAACGGCUUCUAACCGUCCCUCACAAGGACAAUUUUCAUCUCAUUUGGCCUCGAAUCAGGUAGGACUACCCGCUGAACUUAA
RNAcentral lists this unclassified non-coding RNA (296 nucleotides) under uncultured Agaricomycetes. RNAcentral's name for it is "sequence contains ITS2". The stretch from base 1 to 52 matches the Rfam family "5.8S ribosomal RNA", at positions 103 to 154 of the family's 154-position model. The record is from RNAcentral. Lineage: Eukaryota; Fungi; Basidiomycota; Agaricomycetes.